UGGAGGCGCUGGUAUCGAUCCCGGUAUUCCGCAUGCGAAGCGAGCGCUCUACCAUCUGAGCUACGCCCCU
Molecule: non-coding RNA, 70 nt
Organism: Araneus ventricosus
Lineage: Eukaryota; Metazoa; Arthropoda; Arachnida; Araneae; Araneidae
Source: the annotation of a GenBank genome assembly